Long non-coding RNA from Gopherus evgoodei (Goodes thornscrub tortoise), 3342 nucleotides. NCBI's taxonomy places the organism in Eukaryota, Metazoa, Chordata, Testudines, Testudinidae. The record is from Ensembl.
AUGAAGGGAUCUCCUGCUGUUCCCUGUGUCUCCCUUUGCUUCACAGUCAGAUCUGACUCUUCAGAGUCGCUGAGUCCGGAUAGAGGCAUAUUCUGUGUGAGCCGGAGCCUUGAAAGUGAUCUCGGCAUAGUGCAGAUCCUUGCUCGCGUUACCACCAGCUCUGCUGCGCCCCUGUUGAAGACACAAAUCAAGUCACCCAGGCUCCAUCUCCUGCUGGCGUCUUUCCAGCCCCUCACAUGGACCACGCGUCAACGCUGUCUUGAAACGGACAAUGCCACCCAGUUAAACUCAGGCUCCAAUUUUAAUGGUCUCACCUUUGCCGGCUGCUGCUGUUGGGUGUCUGGGGAGGCUGCUGGGGAGGAGAGAAGGAGGCCUGGGUUAUUGUUGGAAGAGAUGAAUGGAGGUGUAGGAACUGAACACAGGACUGGAGAAGGUAGAUUGGAGGCUCCCAUUCCCCCUUGCACCAGGAGGACGGAAGAGAAGUACAUUUUGAACAGCGGAAGAACGGGCAGGUGGAGUGAGCGUGGAAGGAGGAGUAAAUACCUGUGCGUCUGCGCAGCAGGAGGGCGGUAACUAAGAUGAUGAUGCUGACACCUGCCAGAGCAGUCGUGGCUCUGUAGAUGGUGAGUUCUGUGCUGGUGUCCUGCUUCGAUUCCUUUCUAUUGUCUAAAUAAAAGGAAGGAGGUUAAUGUUUCCUGUGACAAGAAUCUCUCCUGGGAAGAGCCACAGGAAGCCAUUUCUGGUGUAUUUUGUUGUAGCACUGGAUUCUGAUCUCAUUGGUACCGUACCGGUGUGAAUGCAGAGUGACUCCGCUGAUGCUAAUGGAGUCAGGGCUGGAUUCCGAUGUCACUAGCCCUGGUGUGAAUCCGGAGUGUCUCCAUUGACACCAAUGGAAUCAGGGCUGGAUUCUGAUCUGAGCUCCCAAAGUGAAUCUGGAGUAACUCCAUUGCAGUGAAUGGAAUCCAGUCUGUAUUCUGGUCUCCAUUACCCAGUGUGAAUCCAGAGCGACCCCACGGAUGUUAGCGGAGUCAGGGCUGGAUUCUGAUCCCUCUGAGUCCAAUGUAAAUCUGGACUGACACCACUGAUGCCAAAAGAAUGAGGGCCGAAUACUGAUCUCAGUGAUUCUGGUGUGAAUCCAGAGUGAGCCCACCGACACCAAUGGAGUCAGUCCGGAUUCUGAUCUCAGUGAAUCUGGAGUGACCCAGUGACAUCUGUGGAGUUGCUCCCAAAUGGAGGCGGGUCCGCUUCGGUUGGCGCAGUGUGUUAGUGGCCAACUGUCCUCGGGUCUGGGCUAAUGGCCGGCAACCUCCAUUCAUACAUGGGACCAACGGGAGAGAAUCCCAAGUGACUGGUACAGCAGAGAGUGUGAUGGGGCCAUGUAGGUCACGGGGCCGUUCUGGUCUCUCUCUGGGACUCUGGCUAUGGGGCUGUGGGUGGCUGAUUUCUGGGCCUGUGUGUGCCUCUCUGUGUCUCUGGCUCUGGGGUUCUGUUUCCCUCACUCACUCCUGCAUUAAACAACUAACUUCCUCUCCAACAAACACUGCAAGAAAACUCCCCCAGUCUCCACCGGCGCCUAUUACAAAGCCCUUCGCAGGUGCCAGCAUGAGUCUGAUCUUCCCGCAGUGAGUCAGCAGGGCCGCGUCAUAACCUCACCUUUAGCAGGCCAAAGAGCUCCGAGCCAACCCGGGCCAAUAGCGAGAGAAGAGAGAGAGAGAGAGACGUCUCUGGGCGCACCGUGGCUCUCGGGAGAAGUGGGGGUCUGGCUUUCUAACCACCGCUCUCACCCCAAGGUACUGACAGGAUGUGAGACAGGCCAGAGCUGCAGCCAGCAACAACUUGGCAGAAAAGCCGCCUCGAGUCGGCCAGGAGAUUGUAUAAUAUAAACCUGACAGCCCCCACAGCAUGAGCAUCACUCAGAUAUUCCUGAUCUCCACUCCUCCUUGGAGCCAGACCCAUCUCCCAUUCCCUGCUCCCAGAGCCAGCCCGUCCCUGACCUUGGGGCCCGACUGGCGCCAGUGCCUCCUAUAGGGGAUGGGUCCCGGAUACCCCCCCUCCCCCCAACUCCUACCAGUCACACUCUGGUUUCUCCUCAACACUCUUAGAUCUGUGCCUUCUCCCAUCCCUGUUGUCUCAUUCUGGAUUUCGAUGCAGCACUGAUAGAGGCCAGAGUCUCUCUUGUCCAGUUUACCCAGGGUCAGUGUCGCGUUCCCCUUACUGAUCUCAACCAGCCUGGACACAUGGAGCCGCCCCUGGUAGAAGGGGUGCUUAGCAUCCAGCACCACGUCUUCUCCAGAGCCCCUGAACCAAAGCACCUUGGCUCUGCUGCCAUUUCUGUUCUGGAAGGUGCAGCUUAGGGUCACGUUCUCCCCGACUGUUGCGUUGAGGGACUUGGGCUCCUGAGAAACUCUUAGACCAUCUAGGGAAGAGAGAGAACCCGCAUCAUACACUGGGCAGCACCGUGUGGCAGGAGAGACCUGUCCUGGCCUUUAGAGAGAACAGCAUCCGCUGUGUUCCUGUGUGUAGAGCUAAACCUUCACCGCUCGCUAGUUUAGUAAUAGUGUCUGUCUCUCUGUUCCCUGAUUCUCCAUCUUCAUCCAUCCUCCGACCUUAGAUCCAUCCAUCCAUUAUCCAUCCUGGCUCUAUCCAUCUAUAGACCCAUCUAGCCAUUCUCCAGUCUAGAGCCGUCCAUCCAACCUUUCAUUCCUAGACCCAUGCCCCUCAAUUCACAUCUGCUCUCCAUUUGUGUUCCUCGUUCCCUAGAUCAACACUGAUUUAGCUGUCUCCAGGGAAGAUCUGCAAUCCUAGAUGCUGGAUAAAUCCAGUGAUGUGUUCACCUUAUCAAGAACGAUAUCCCAGAAUUGCGCAGGAAACUCACCCUGUUUCUGGCCGAAUGCUCCCACAUUUGGGUUCGGCGCCCUCUUGCAACCAGCUGGAAUUUCUGCAACAGCUUAAUUUGAAUGAAAAAACAGGAGUCAGUGGGUGAGGUUCUGUAGCUAUGUGCAGGAGGUCAGAGUAGGGAAUUGUGAAGGUACCUUUUGGCUUUAAAGUCCAGGAGAACAGUUUUGUGCAUUUCUGAUGUCCGCCACCUUGGCUAACGUGCUGCGGAUUGAACUGGGGACCUCAACAUCUAAAAGCACAAGUUGCUACAGCUUGAGCUAGAAGAGCUGGGGGCUGUAACAAGUUGUAUUCUGGGUAGAUCAGCACAGAACGGGAUCUCCUAACUCACACUCUUUGGUCCUGAGACAUUCAGUAAGGAAAUGAACGAUCCAGUCUGCACAGAAGCCCUGGGCUGGCUAAUCCGAUAUUAAAUCCAGUCUAGUUUACCCUGCUCCACAUUUUCUG